GAUGAACGCUGACAGAAUGCUUAACACAUGCAAGUCUUUGGCGAAUCUGUGCUUGCACAGGCUAGCCAAGGCGGACGGGUGAGUAACGCGUAAAGAACUUGCCCUGCAGACAGGGAUAACAGACGGAAACGACUGAUAACACCUGAUACAGUUGCCGGCACGCAUGUGCCUGGCAAUGAAAAGAGAUGCUGCAGGAGAGUUUUGCGUCCUAUUAGCUUGUUGGUGAGGUGACGGCUCACCAAGGCGAUGAUAGGUAGCCGGCCUGAGAGGGUGAACGGCCACAAGGGGACUGAGAUACGGCCCUUACUCCUACGGGAGGCAGCAGUGGGGAAUAUUGGACAAUGGGGGCAACCCUGAUCCAGCAAUUCUGUGUGCACGAAGAAGGUUUUCGGAUUGUAAAGUGCUUUCAGCAGGGAAGAAGAAAGUGACGGUACCUGCAGAAGAAGCGACGGCUAAAUACGUG
RNAcentral lists this ribosomal RNA (463 nucleotides) under uncultured bacterium. Its description in RNAcentral is "partial 16S ribosomal RNA". It matches the Rfam family "Bacterial small subunit ribosomal RNA", at positions 28 to 507 of the family's 1533-position model. The record is from RNAcentral.